UACGUAGGGUGCAAGCGUUAAUCGGAAUUACUGGGCGUAAAGCGUGCGCAGGCGGCUUUGCAAGACAGAUGUGAAAUCCCCGGGCUCAACCUGGGAACUGCAUUUGUGACUGCAAGGCUAGAGUACGGUAGAGGGGGAUGGAAUUCCGCGUGUAGCAGUGAAAUGCGUAGAUAUGCGGAGGAACACCGAUGGCGAAGGCGGCAUCCUGGACCAUAACUGACGCUGAGGCACGAAAGCUAGGGGAGCAAACGGG
Molecule: ribosomal RNA, 253 nt
Filed under: uncultured bacterium
Lineage: Bacteria
Description: partial 16S ribosomal RNA
Rfam family: Bacterial small subunit ribosomal RNA
Source: RNAcentral